AACGAACGCUGGCGGCAUGCCUAACACAUGCAAGUCGAACGAGACCUUCGGGUCUAGUGGCGCACGGGUGCGUAACGCGUGGGAACCUGCCCUUAGGUUCGGAAUAACUCCCCGAAAGGGGUGCUAAUACCGGAUAAUGUCUUCGGACCAAAGAUUUAUCGCCUUUGGAUGGUCCCGCGUUGGAUUAGCUAGUUGGUAGGGUAAAAGCCUACCAAGGCGACGAUCCAUAGCUGGUCUGAGAGGAUGAUCAGCCACACUGGGACUGAGACACGGCCCAGACUCCUACGGGAGGCAGCAGUGGGGAAUAUUGGACAAUGGGCGAAAGCCUGAUCCAGCAAUGCCGCGUGAGUGAUGAAGGCCUUAGGGUUGUAAAGCUCUUUUAUCCGGGAGGAUAAUGACAGUACCGGGAGAAUAAGCUCCGGCUAACUCCGUG
RNAcentral lists this ribosomal RNA (433 nucleotides) under uncultured bacterium. Its description in RNAcentral is "partial 16S ribosomal RNA". It matches the Rfam family "Bacterial small subunit ribosomal RNA", at positions 29 to 507 of the family's 1533-position model. The record is from RNAcentral.